UGGCAGGAGGUUUUUAGGAUGCGCAGGAUAUAGGGUAAGAGAAUUUUUUCUUUUUUUUUGUUCAAAUUAAUGUGUUUGAAGAAUGUAAAAUGUAUGGGUUGUUGUAAAGUGUAAAAAUGGCUUUCGCAUUUUGCAAAAUGCUAAGAACAAGGGAUGUAGUUUUUUUUUUAGUGGAUUGAUUACAGGUCACCCGGAUGGAUAAAAGAAUUGAUAGUUGAACUCGUGAA
This 227-nucleotide unclassified non-coding RNA is filed under the name Hevea brasiliensis (rubber tree). Lineage: Eukaryota; Viridiplantae; Streptophyta; Magnoliopsida; Malpighiales; Euphorbiaceae. The record is from RNAcentral.